UACCCGCGCCCCUAGUGGUGGUCGAUAUUAUUGAGCCUAAAACGUCCGUAGCCGGUCUUUUAAAUCUUUGGGCAAAUCGGGCAGCUUAACUGUCCGACUUCCGAGGAGACUGGAAGACUUGGGACCGGGAGAGGUCAGAGGUACUUCUGGGGUAGGGGUAAAAUCCUGUAAUCCUGGAAGGACCACCGGUGGCGAAGGCGUCUGACUAGAACGGAUCCGACGGUGAGGGACGAAGCCCUGGGGCGCAAAC
RNAcentral lists this ribosomal RNA (250 nucleotides) under uncultured bacterium. Its description in RNAcentral is "partial 16S ribosomal RNA". It matches the Rfam family "Archaeal small subunit ribosomal RNA", at positions 474 to 724 of the family's 1478-position model. The record is from RNAcentral. RNAcentral also lists the same sequence under 1 other name.